AUACGGAGGGUGCAAGCGUUAUUCGGAAUCACUGGGCGUAAAGGACGCGUAGGCGGGUUGGCAAGUCAGAUGUGAAAUCCUACAGCUUAACUGUAGAACUGCAUUUGAAACUGCUAACCUAGAGUAUGGGAGGGGGAGAUGGAAUUAGUGGUGUAGAGGUAAAAUCCGUAGAUAUCACUAGGAAUACCGAAAGCGAAGGCGAUCCCCUGGAACAUAACUGACGCUAAGGCGUGAAAGCGUGGGGAGCAAACAGGAUUAGAAACCCCAGUAGUCC
RNAcentral lists this ribosomal RNA (274 nucleotides) under uncultured bacterium. Its description in RNAcentral is "partial 16S ribosomal RNA". It matches the Rfam family "Bacterial small subunit ribosomal RNA", at positions 523 to 796 of the family's 1533-position model. The record is from RNAcentral.